UACGGGGGAUGCGAGCGUUAUCCGGAUUUAUUGGGUUUAAAGGGCGCGUAGGCGGGACGUCAAGUCAGCGGUAAAAGACUGCAGCUAAACUGUAGCACGCCGUUGAAACUGGCGCCCUGGAGACGAGACGAGGGAGGCGGAACAAGUGAAGUAGCGGUGAAAUGCAUAGAUAUCACUUGGAACCCCGAUAGCGAAGGCAGCUUCCCAGGCUCGGUCUGACGCUGAUGCGCGAGAGCGUGGGUAGCGAACAGG
Molecule: ribosomal RNA, 252 nt
Filed under: Butyricimonas virosa
Lineage: Bacteria; Pseudomonadati; Bacteroidota; Bacteroidia; Bacteroidales; Odoribacteraceae
Description: partial 16S ribosomal RNA
Rfam family: Bacterial small subunit ribosomal RNA
Source: RNAcentral